UACAGAGGUCUCAAGCGUUGUUCGGAAUCACUGGGCGUAAAGGGGGUUUAGGCGGUGUGCUAAGUCAGAUGGGAAAGCCCGGGGCUCAACCUCGGAACUGCAUCCGAUACUGGCAUGCUAGAGAAUUGGAGAGGAGUCUAGAAUUCACGGUGUAGCAGUGAAAUGCGUAGAUAUCGUGAGGAAUACCAAGUGCGAAGGCAGGACUCUGGACAUUUUCUGACGCUGAGACACGAAGGCCAGGGGAGCAAACGGG
RNAcentral lists this ribosomal RNA (253 nucleotides) under uncultured bacterium. RNAcentral's name for it is "partial 16S ribosomal RNA". It matches the Rfam family "Bacterial small subunit ribosomal RNA", at positions 524 to 776 of the family's 1533-position model. The record is from RNAcentral.